This is a non-coding RNA of Schistosoma mansoni, 48 nucleotides long. Lineage: Eukaryota; Metazoa; Platyhelminthes; Trematoda; Strigeidida; Schistosomatidae. The record is from Rfam.
AUCCAGCUGACGAGUCUCAAAUAGGACGAAACACGGGUCAAACUGGAU